GUUUUUUAAUUUUCAAAGUGGGGAAUUACGAAUCUUCAUUUCUCCUUUUAGGAGAACUAAAAAUGUUAAGGUAUUCGUCACCAAGGGUGAAUGAAUACUUAGAGAUUGUGAAAGUAGCUUAAGUUUUUUGGUGAAUAUAAGGAAAUAAAACAUACUUUUGCUAAGCCUCCUUCAGACUUCCCUUUAGGACUGUUGUGCUGGCCUGGUAGGUAGUAUUUUGUCUGGCUUAAGCCACUAGAUUGGUGGGAGCAGGUCUUGAUUGGCCUUAUUUUGGGUGAAUGAGUGACACAGGACAUGCCUCCUGCCAUGUUUUCAAUUUAGGAGGCUGCUCAUAGAGGCCUUGAAUGCCAGCCCAAGGAUGAAUAAAUUAAUAGUAGACUUCAUUAUUUAAAUUUACUGCUAUAAAUUUCAAAUAUCAAAUAUUAGGUCGCUGGUGAAUUAUUAGCCAUUCUCUUUUUUUUUUCAAUAUAUGAAGUUUAUUGUCAAAUUGGUUUCCAUACAACACCCAGUGCUCAUCCCAAAAUGUGCCCUCCUCAAUACCCAUCACCCACCCUCCCCGCCCUCCCACCCCCCAUCAACCGUCCGUUUGUUCUCAGUUUUUAAGAGUCUCUUAUGCUUUGGCUCUCUCCCACUUUAACCUCCUUUUUUUUUUUUCCUUCCCCUCCCCCAUGGGUUUCUGUUAAGUUUCUCAGGAUCCACAUAAGAGUGAGAACAUAUUGCCAUUCUCUAAAUAAUAAGAACUAAUUUUUAUUAAUGAGGGUUUAAAAUAGGUAAACUAUGUAAUUCCUUAAUCUAAUCCCAAUGCAAUGAAAUAAGUAAUACAUGUGAGUCCACACCACUUUGAUCAUAUUCUUGACACAUUCUACUUCUUUGGUCACCUCUAUUAUUAUGAAAUAAUCAGUUUGUCAUAUGGCAUAUAAUAAAAUUGACUGUGACUCUUCCUUCCAGCAAAAUACAUGUAUUUCACUUUUUCUACUUGUCCUCUUCUCUCCCUCCAGAUCUUCCAACAUUCAUGAAAUGUUAUGUAGAAUGGGAAGGAUAGAUUUUCCAUUCAGCUACACACUUUAUAAGAGUGGAUUUGUGUCCUGGAGCGAGCAGAGCUGCAUUUAA
RNAcentral lists this long non-coding RNA (1110 nucleotides) under Felis catus (domestic cat). RNAcentral's name for it is "lncRNA (ENSFCAG00000051564.1)". Lineage: Eukaryota; Metazoa; Chordata; Mammalia; Carnivora; Felidae. The record is from RNAcentral.